Molecule: ribosomal RNA, 407 nt
Filed under: uncultured prokaryote
Description: partial 16S ribosomal RNA
Source: RNAcentral
CCCUAUGGGGUGCAGCAGGUUUUCGCUCCCGCGAGGAUUCCAGCUUCCAUUCGGAAACCUGAAUGGACCCGGUAGUAGCAACGCUAGUCACGGGAACGGAAGGCAGUUUCGGCGAGGAGAUUCCCGGCAACAUCAACGUAACCAUCGCGGCCACUACGAUCGACAUAGAAUCUCUCCCCCUGCCCCUGAACUCGGUUACAAAAGUACGACGAUUCGUAUAGCAAGAUCAAUGAACCAAAGUAACGCCGUUUAGCCGCAAUUGCCAGCAUUGUUUCUGCAGCUCGAUUGCAGAUGCAGGGGCUGGAACGCGCGGGAAGGCGUACCUUCAGGCUAUUUCAAUGCAAAUCCGGGGCCAAGGACCCCUGUUUAAUAGCAGAACCGUCACAGCAAGGAAUUGGCGGGAGGGC